Molecule: ribosomal RNA, 465 nt
Filed under: Vreelandella stevensii
Lineage: Bacteria; Pseudomonadati; Pseudomonadota; Gammaproteobacteria; Oceanospirillales; Halomonadaceae
Description: partial 16S ribosomal RNA
Rfam family: Bacterial small subunit ribosomal RNA
Source: RNAcentral
CCUACGGGAGGCAGCAGUGGGGAAUAUUGGACAAUGGGCGAAAGCCUGAUCCAGCCAUGCCGCGUGUGUGAAGAAGGCCUUCGGGUUGUAAAGCACUUUCAGUGGGGAAGAAAGCCUUGGGGCUAAUACCCUCGAGGAAGGACAUCACCCACAGAAGAAGCACCGGCUAACUCCGUGCCAGCAGCCGCGGUAAUACGGAGGGUGCGAGCGUUAAUCGGAAUUACUGGGCGUAAAGCGCGCGUAGGCGGUCUGAUAAGCCGGUUGUGAAAGCCCCGGGCUCAACCUGGGAACGGCAUCCGGAACUGUCAGGCUAGAGUGCAGGAGAGGAAGGUAGAAUUCCCGGUGUAGCGGUGAAAUGCGUAGAGAUCGGGAGGAAUACCAGUGGCGAAGACGGCCUUCUGGACUGACACUGACGCUGAGGUGCGAAAGCGUGGGUAGCAAACAGGAUUAGAUACCCGAGUAGUC